Molecule: long non-coding RNA, 1408 nt
Organism: Balaenoptera acutorostrata (minke whale)
Lineage: Eukaryota; Metazoa; Chordata; Mammalia; Artiodactyla; Balaenopteridae
Exons: 4
Source: RefSeq, a predicted model, not a curated record
UCUGGACUAAAUAUGUGAUUGAACCCAGUUAAGCCUUCUAUAUAAACUUCUAAGAGUCUGGCAGGCGGGUGCAGAGAUCUGCUCAUCUGGAGGCCACCCAAGCCAAGCCUCGGAUGAACUGGAUAACCUUGGGAGGGGCAGUCCCUCCGCGGUCAGCAAGGCUCCAGAUGUCAAAGCAUCAGGAUACAAAAAAAUAAAAGAUGGGGAAAUUGAGUCCCAGAAAAUGAAGAAGACAUGAAGGAUCUAUUGCCUUGAAUUCCAUUAUGAAAGCAGGUAUAUUCAGGGUCCAACUUCUUGGCUGACUCCAAGCCUUUAAAUCAGAGAUGAAUGCAUUGGGCUGAGCCAUACUUGGUUUUAAGAUCUUCAGCCUCUGCUCUACAUGCAGGAUGUGUGGGAAGUGCCAGAGAAAGAUUCUUUCCGACCCCGUAAUUGGAGCACAGGAAGAUCAGCACUGGGAGUGGUCAAGGGCUUCGGCUUUGUACAGAUGGGGAAACUGAAACACACAAAAAGCCAUCCCUGCUCCUGGAACUGGACUUUCCUGACUCCAUGGCCAGGGACCUUUCUGCUGCACUGCAUUCCAAUGGCACUUGUCAUGUUUCUCUACAAUUCUCACAGUUUCAAAAAAGACUUUUUAAAAAUUAAAUUGUUAUCUCUACUACACUAAGUAAUGUAUUUUUAUUUUAGAGAUCUUGUGUGUGUGUGUGUGUGUGUGUGUGUGUGUGUGUGUGUGUUAUGCUAUACCAUUGCAAACGUCCCACCCUUUUUUUUCGAUAGCAAUUUGGUAUGAAUUAAUAUCUGUAAACAAACAAAAGACAUAUAUGCUAUCUCCAAAACUAAUGAUUCAGAAGGUACUUCAAGGGUGCCAUAUAUAUAAUUCUAAAUAUCAAUAUUUAUUAUUAUUGUUAAACUAUUGACAGAAAUAUCACAAUUAAAUGGAUUUUCUGAUUAAUAUAAUUUAAAUAAAUAAUUUACGUAUGACAGUUUUAUCUGGGCUCUAUUGAUCGUUUUGUUCUUCGUUUUUGAUUCUGCUGGAUGCAUACUAUUUCUUAUAAUAUGCCCAUAGACUGUAUAUCAAAAUGUUAAAGAAGACUCUAGAAAAACAGGUCAUUUAUGGCAGAGAUGCAUUUGAAAUAAUGCUUUUAUCAUUUAAAUCUAACCACACUGCUUUUCAAAAUAAGUGGUAACUCAUAGAUGUUACAAUUGUGACUAACUUGUUUGACCAUUCACUUACACAGCUGUAAGUAUAGCUGUUCAGUCAGAGUGAAUCCUGUUAAAAAUUAACUUGUCUCCCUAAUUUCUUAACCCAAAUAUAGAGAUCAGUAACUUCUUACUGUACUCAUGUUCCUGCCUGUAAUCCUACCAUGUAUAUGAUUGUAUCAUCAUUGUCUUAUGGGUUGAAUCUUUAUCA